This 942-nucleotide ribosomal RNA is filed under the name Triticum aestivum (bread wheat). RNAcentral describes it as "partial small subunit ribosomal RNA". The record is from RNAcentral. Lineage: Eukaryota; Viridiplantae; Streptophyta; Magnoliopsida; Poales; Poaceae.
AUGAGUAAUGAUGUAAUCUCUAUUUGCUCCUGCAAUGUCCGUGGUUUGGGUGAUCACGAUAAAUGUGCCGCUGUCCUAUCUGAACUGUUAGCAAUCAACCCUCACAUUGCCCUCUUGCAAGAAUCUGAACUAGAAUCUUUCUUCGACGCCAAAUUACGCUCCUUUUUACCCCACCACCUGGACCAAAGUCUUCUCGUUGCCGCCAUUGGCACGGCCGGCGGCACCAUAUCCGCAGUCAACUCCUCCUCCCUCCAGGUCAUCUCGCACUCCCACCUAAAUUUCUCCUCCACCGUAAUCCUACGAUCAACUGCAUGUGCCCUUGACAUCGCCAUCACCAACAUCUACGCCCCCUCUAGCCAUGCCCUCAAACCGGUCUUUGUUGACGAGCUUCUCUCGAUCGCACAACCAGACGAUGCUCCCUGGCUCGUUCUUGGCGACUUCAAUCUCCUACGCUUCCCAUCCGACAAGAACAACUCCACCUUUAGACGAUCAGAAGCGAACGCUUUCAACCAGGUUAUCGAUACCCUAGCCCUCAUUGAACUACCUCUCCUCGACCGACAAUUUACGUGGUCUAAUAACUGAUCCUCGCCCACGUUGGAAAAGAUCGAUCGUGCGUUCUUUAAUCUCGCUUGGGCAGAUGCUUUCCCUAAUACCUCCUUGUCCUAUCUCACACGUUUCAUCUCUGGUCACGUUCCCCUGCUUGUACAUGUCACCAAUACGAUCCCACGUUCUAACUUCUUCAAAUUCGAGCCUGGUUGGUCCAAAUUUUGCCCAUGCAACGACAUCAUCACACGAUGCUGCUCGCCCUCGCUUUCCCAUUUAACCAACUCGGCUGCUAUCCUCGCAGCAGCACUCAAAAAAUCACGGUCUGAACUCAAAACUUGGACACGUUCUCGCAUUCCCACCCACUCUGCGAAUCACGCUGCAAAACCGCCAUCUUAG